This is a long non-coding RNA of Lynx canadensis (Canada lynx), 456 nucleotides long. RefSeq lists it as uncharacterized. The transcript is spliced from 3 exons. Lineage: Eukaryota; Metazoa; Chordata; Mammalia; Carnivora; Felidae. The record is from RefSeq and is a predicted model, not a curated record.
GCUGCAUCUUAAGACAAUCAUUGUCGCAGUAAUUUAGCGUGCACCUGCAUCACCUGGAGGGCUUCUUGAAACCCAGAGCCCUGGGGCCAACCCCCAGGGUUUCUGAUUUAAUGCAUCUGGGGUGGGGCAUGAGCAUUAGGCUACAAGGUUCCAGGAGAUGCUGAUGCUGUUGGUUCCCCGGACUUUGAAAAUCACUGUUUUCAGAUCUUCAUCGUCCUCAAUGCCUUGGAUAAUGGAAAGAAAUGGAAGGCUUCUGGAGGUCCAUCGGCCUAAUGUAGACACAUGGCCCCAAAUCAACCACAAGAAGGCUGAAGACUAGAGGAGUCCGUGGAAUAUUUGUCAGGUGGAUCGCUUUGAAUCUCACCCAGUCUGCUCCCUAAAUGAGUCUGGUGAUCUCGGCCAGGAGAGGACCUCUCCCGCUUCUCACAGAAUUAUGUAAGAAUCCUGUUGACAGAA